RNAcentral lists this ribosomal RNA (490 nucleotides) under uncultured bacterium. Its description in RNAcentral is "partial 16S ribosomal RNA". It matches the Rfam family "Bacterial small subunit ribosomal RNA", at positions 29 to 507 of the family's 1533-position model. The record is from RNAcentral.
AGUGAACGCUGGCGGUAGGCCUAACACAUGCAAGUCGAACGGCAGCACAGUAAGAGCUUGCUCUUACGGGUGGCGAGUGGCGGACGGGUGAGGAAUACAUCGGAAUCUACUUUUUCGUGGGGGAUAACGUAGGGAAACUUACGCUAAUACCGCAUACGACCUACGGGUGAAAGCAGGGGAUCUUCGGACCUUGCGCGAUUGAAUGAGCCGAUGUCGGGUAGCUAGUUGGCGGGGUAAAGGCCCACCAAGGCGACGAUCCGUAGCUGGUCUGAGAGGAUGAUCAGCCACACUGGAACUGAGACACGGUCCAGACUCCUACGGGAGGCAGCAGUGGGGAAUAUUGGACAAUGGGCGGAAGCCUGAUCCAGCCAUACCGCGUGGGUGAAGAAGGCCUUCGGGUUGUAAAGCCCUUUUGUUGGGAAAGAAAGCAGCAGGUUAAUACCCCGCUGUUCUGACGGUACCCAAAGAAUAAGCACCGGCUAACUUCGUG